CCUACGGGUGGCAGCAGUGAGGAAUAUUGGUCAAUGGCCGGAAGGCUGAACCAGCCAUGCCGCGUGAAGGGCAGGGCCCUAUGGGCGUUAAACUUCUUGUGUGCGGGAGCAAGAAUGGUCACGUGUGGCCAGACGAGAGUACCGUACGAAGAAGCAGCGGCGAACUCCGUGCCAGCAGCCGCGGUAAUACGGGGGAUGCAAGCGUUAUCCGGAGUGAGUGGGGUUCAAGGGGGCGUAGGCUGUGAGGUAAGUCAGCGGUGAAAUGCCCCCGCUCAACGGGGUGAAGUGCCAUUGAUACUGCCUUGCUGGCCUGCGGCUGCCGUGGGAGGAAUGUGUGGUGUAGCGGUG
RNAcentral lists this ribosomal RNA (348 nucleotides) under uncultured bacterium. Its description in RNAcentral is "partial 16S ribosomal RNA". It matches the Rfam family "Bacterial small subunit ribosomal RNA", at positions 338 to 683 of the family's 1533-position model. The record is from RNAcentral.